UCUCUAAGUUCUCUUCUCUAAGAGAACUCAUCCGUAAAAUACCUUCUCUCACAGUGAAGUCCCCUCUGAAUAUAAUUUUUAUUUGGAUCUGCUCACCUGUCUGUCCUCCAAUCGUAGCAAACAGCCUGUGGGGAAUUCUGGAUGGGAUCUUCAGUCCAGCUCUUAUCUGGCUUGGUGCUGUGACCAAUUCCCUGGGGAGCCUGUUCCAGUGCCCAAAAUACGAGCUGAAGUCUAAACAGAGAAAAGAACUCAUUCCAGUCUUCUCUCAUCACCACUUCCAUGGAUGAAGGAUAAGAGGCAGUGUACAGUACAUUGUACACAGUACCUUGUAGCUCAGGAUACCUUCACCUGUUUGCAGAUCUCCCACUGAACUGCUGUAACACCAUGUUGGUGUCAAUCUCCCGUUCUCUGCAUUUUCCCUUCUUUGGUUUCUUUGUUUAUGAAUUUGUCAUAUCUCACAAGCAUUUGCAGAUGUUUUUGGACUGAUUUUGU
Long non-coding RNA from Lepidothrix coronata (blue-crowned manakin), 492 nucleotides. RefSeq lists it as uncharacterized. Lineage: Eukaryota; Metazoa; Chordata; Aves; Passeriformes; Pipridae. The transcript is spliced from 3 exons. The record is from RefSeq and is a predicted model, not a curated record.